GUUGGGAAUAUUGCGCAAUGGGCGAAAGCCUGACGCAGCGACGCCGCGUGGUCGAAGAAGCCCUUCGGGGUGUAAAGACCUUUUUUAGGGGACGAUUGUGACGGUACCCUAAGAAUAAGAGCCUGCUAACUACGUGCCAGCAGCAGCGGUAAUACGUAGGGCUCGAGCGUUGUCCGGAUUUAUUGGGCGUAAAGCGCAUGUAGGUGGUCUUGUAAGUCGAAUUUUAAAGGCUUUGGCUUAACUAAAGUUUCGAUUUGAUACUGCAAGACUAGAGAAUAGCAGGGGCAAGCGGAACUCCCGGUGUAGCAGUGAAAUGCGUUGAUAUCGGGAAGAACACCAAUGGCGAAGGCAGCUUGCUAGGCUAAUUCUGACACUAAGAUGCGAAAGCGUGGGGAGCGAACGGGAUUAGAUACCCUGGUAGUCC
Molecule: ribosomal RNA, 424 nt
Filed under: uncultured bacterium
Lineage: Bacteria
Description: bacterial SSU rRNA
Rfam family: Bacterial small subunit ribosomal RNA
Source: RNAcentral